This 468-nucleotide ribosomal RNA is filed under the name uncultured bacterium. RNAcentral describes it as "partial 16S ribosomal RNA". It matches the Rfam family "Bacterial small subunit ribosomal RNA", at positions 28 to 507 of the family's 1533-position model. The record is from RNAcentral.
GACGAACGCUGGCGGCGUGCUUAACACAUGCAAGUCGAGCGGAAAGGCCCUGCUUUUGUGGGGUGCUCGAGUGGCGAACGGGUGAGUAACACGUGAGUAACCUGCCCUUGACUUUGGGAUAACUUCAGGAAACUGGGGCUAAUACCGGGUAGGAGCUCCUGCUGCAUGGUGGGGGUUGGAAAGUUUCGGCGGUUGGGGAUGGACUCGCGGCUUAUCAGCUUGUUGGUGGGGUAGUGGCUUACCAAGGCUUUGACGGGUAGCCGGCCUGAGAGGGUGACCGGCCACAUUGGGACUGAGAUACGGCCCAGACUCCUACGGGAGGCAGCAGUGGGGAAUAUUGCACAAUGGGCGGAAGCCUGAUGCAGCAACGCCGCGUGCGGGGUGACGGCCUUCGGGUUGUAAACCGCUUUCGCCUGUGGCGAAGCGUGAGUGACGGUAAUGGGUAAAGAAGCACCGGCUAACUACGUG